GGGGCCUGCCGGGAACUGGAGUGCGCCCCGCGGCCUUUUGCGCAGGCGCCGAAGCCACACCGCGAAGUACCGUUUUUUCAGGCACAAGGAAGGUUUCACCCCGUUGCCGAAAGACUAAGCGUCCCGUUGGCCAGUGCAACGAAGAACGGAGGAAGCGACGCAAGGCCUCUGCUGAUGCUGCUUUUUUCUCCUGUACCCAUCCAUGGGAGGGAGCUGUGAGAUGGCCUGGCAGAACCCGCUCUUGGACCCCACAGAAUGAGAGGCUCACCCUGCACAGGAACAUCCUGGGGCAGCAGGCUCAGCACAUUUUAAAUUUUGAGUAUGAACAAAGUAAACUUCAGGGUUAAAAAAAAACACAAAAAUUUGUCGAGC
RNAcentral lists this long non-coding RNA (372 nucleotides) under Homo sapiens (human). RNAcentral's name for it is "non-protein coding SRRM2-AS1:3". The record is from RNAcentral. Lineage: Eukaryota; Metazoa; Chordata; Mammalia; Primates; Hominidae.